UACGUAGGGACCAAGCGUUGUUCGGAUUUACUGGGCGUAAAGGGCGCGUAGGCGGCAAUUCAAGUCAGUUGUGAAAUCUCCGAGCUUAACUCGGAACGGUCAACUGAUACUGUUUUGCUAGAGUGCAGAAAGGGCAACCGGAAUUCUUGGUGUAGCGGUGAAAUGCGUAGAUAUCGAGAGGAACACCUGCGGCGAAGGCGGGUUGCUGGGCUGACACUGACGCUGAUGCGCGAAAGCCAGGGGAGCGAACGGG
RNAcentral lists this ribosomal RNA (253 nucleotides) under uncultured bacterium. RNAcentral describes it as "partial 16S ribosomal RNA". It matches the Rfam family "Bacterial small subunit ribosomal RNA", at positions 524 to 776 of the family's 1533-position model. The record is from RNAcentral.